Molecule: ribosomal RNA, 305 nt
Filed under: uncultured bacterium
Lineage: Bacteria
Description: partial 16S ribosomal RNA
Rfam family: Bacterial small subunit ribosomal RNA
Source: RNAcentral
ACAGCAGUAGCCGCGGGAAAACGUAGGUGGCAAGCGUUGUCCGGAAUUAUUGGGCGUAAAGCGCGCGCAGGCGGAUCAGUCAGUCUGUCUUAAAAGUUCGGGGCUUAACCCCGUGAUGGGAUGGAAACUGCUGAUCUAGAGUAUCGGAGAGGAAAGUGGAAUUCCUAGUGUAGCGGUGAAAUGCGUAGAUAUUAGGAAGAACACCAGUGGCGAAGGCGACUUUCUGGACGAAAACUGACGCUGAGGCGCGAAAGCCAGGGGAGCGAACGGGAUUAGAUACCCGCGUAGUCCCUGUCUCUUAUACA